Long non-coding RNA from Lates calcarifer (barramundi perch), 9516 nucleotides. RefSeq lists it as uncharacterized. The transcript has 2 exons. Lineage: Eukaryota; Metazoa; Chordata; Actinopteri; Centropomidae. The record is from RefSeq and is a predicted model, not a curated record.
UUCUUUACUCCCCUUUCUCAUUUCUGUUUUGCCUUAUUCAGCUGAACGAGUGAGGGAGUCAAACAGACAAGGAGAGUUUGCAGUUCAAGACUGAAAAAGAGCCAAUUUUUUUCAAUUUUUUUUUCAGGCUGGGAUUUUGGGUGCCUUACAAACAGAUGUUGCUUGUCAUUUGCUCAUAGUGCAGGGAAAUCAGCUUGUAGAAUGCAGAGGUUUUACAGACUGAAAGAUUACCUCUCACUUAUUUGUAGUUAUUACCACUAGUAGUGCGCGGUACACUGAAAAUAUAAAAACACCAAAAAAACUAGUCUAUUUCAUCUGUUAUCUCCUCCUCCUCUUUCCCCCCACUUCUCGUCCUCUUCCCUUUGUUUUUUUUUUCUUUUGUGUCAUUCUUUCCCAUCCUAGCUGCUUUUUGGGGUGAUUUUUGCACUGUGGUUGCAUGUUUGAGCUGUAUUUUUUGAUGGGCCACAGUGGAUAUGACUGCUUGUACCUUCUGCCAAGCAACACAGGCCCUGCAGAACAGAGGAAGAAUCAUUUGGAAACUGAACAUGAAGGCAAAUCGGCAGCAAGCUAGAAGAACGAGUGAUGGACAUCCUGGAUCCAAAGGGGAGGGUGAGUCGGUACCAACAAAUACUCUUCUUCUCCACUCCCCUCUAAGCUCCCCAUCUGUUUCUUAAGCUUCAGACCACCAUGGUAGCAUGAAGGAGCCAGAGAGCUUUGUUAUCUGGCUCGCCUUUUUCUCUGUGCAGCCGCUCUGGAGGACUCAGAAAAAAUGCUGAAUGGAGAUCUGCACUAGUAAUGAUCACGCAGGCACUGAAUGAUUUUAACAGUGCAAGACGUGACAGUGAGAUGAGCAUACAAGUCAUCAUGUCAGAUGGAUGGUUUGAUGCUGUGCGGUCCUAGCCUCAGAUUUCAAUGGUAAUCAACACAUCCACACAGGGUUUUUGUCUUGUAUGUCUAUAGUAAUAAUUAGAAAUCAUCUGCUGAUUUUGAUUUUCCCUGAGACGGCGAGAGAUCUUUGGGCAUAGUGUACAGCAGCAGGCUCUGUACCUGAUAGCAGGAGGUAUUUUUCAAAGUGCUGUAUUGUUCAGCUGAGAUGGGGGAUGGGGCAAGGGAGAAAUAGGGAGACAGAGAGAGAGAGAGAGAGAGUUAGGGGGGCUUGCCAAUGUUGUGUCUGGCUGAGGCUUGCACUUGUAUGUUCACAAAUAUAGAUGGGGUAGUAGAGGUUGCAAUGAGUGCGCUCAAUUAAUCUAUGUAAUUUCAGAGUGUAUGUUUGAUGUGGAGCUGCAUGUCUGUCACAGGCAGGGUUUGCUCUGUAUGCUCUGUAUCCUCAGACGCUCUGAGUCCUCAUUUGACUUACAGACAAGUUGAGUACAUGGACGCUUUCUUGUUAAGGAACAUUUAAGAUUUCUUUUAAUGCCUAAGCAGAAAACAAAGGAGUCAGCAUCCGGAGAGGGCUGAAUUCAGUUGUUUGAGGUAGAGGAUGUGUCUCUCUCCGUCCCUGAGACCCUAACUUGUGACGUUGUGCUUUCAUGUCCACGGGUUAGGCUCUUGGGAGCUGGGAGGGAUGCAUGGCCAGCACUAUCUGCCGUGCGUCUGUGAUUCGAACAAUGGCGAUCAGAGGAGGUAGGCCAUGGCGCAGUGAGGCGUUCACCUCGCACUCACUGUAUUCAGUGUGGCUCAAACCCUGCUGAUGUUGCAUGUCACCUGUUCUUUUCUUGUAUCCCUCGCUGCAUCAUUCAUAUGAUGGAAUGUUGAUUACAUAGAUACUCUGAGGUUAGGAGAAUGGGGAAGUAGUGGCAUGUAUACUGUUUUAAGGAUCAUGUGACAAAGUUAAGGCAGGAUGCGCUGAAGUGUCUCAAUGGAUAACAGGAAGCUAUCAUGUUUUAGCAUAUCUAUACUAAUUCUUUGUGCCUGGUAGUUACCAUCAAUUAUCAGCCAGUCAUUGUUGUCCAGCUUUAACAUGAUGCCUCCUGUUUGGUCAUGUAUUCUGGUCUAAUCCUAAUAUAGCACUUUGAUCCAAUUUGACACAUGAAUGUCUUUUAUUCUGCUUUUCAAACAACACAUGGCCUAAAUACUGUUUCAAAUUACUUCCCACCUCAGAGUAAUAACAUUUUCUACUCAAUAAUUGCCACAUCUAAGCAUCUAGCAGUAGCACAACAACAACAAAACGGCUUCAAGUGGAAUGCUAACUGGAUACUAAUACUUGUUAGCUAGUAAGGAAACAGCUGGUUAGAAUCAGUAGCCCACCAGAGAUAAUGUUAAUGCUGAGAUGAUAGAAUUGACCUCUUCAUGCACCGAUGAACACUGUUCAGUAAAGAAGCAUCAAUUUGUGUGAUAGCUCUUUGCUUCUGCAACAGGCCUAGCAGUGUGUGUGUACCUUUAUGACUUGAGAGCAGCACAGAGUAAUGUUGAGCGUGAUGAUAACAGCGCUGUACAUUAUGUGCUUGACCUCAGUGAACCCUCAUCGAUGUUAGUUAGUUCACUCACUCAUGCUAACACAAAUAUAAAGGUGGUAGUAAGAACAUACUCACUGGGCAGCAACUGAUAAUGAGAAUAACCUAUAUUGUCUUUUGUCACUAGUUUACAUGGCUGCUGUCCAUGAUUCAUAUUUAAAGUGCUUUUAGAAGUGUUGAUUUGAUCCUGGUGUCUAGCUGUAACCAGGGUGACAGCACACUUUGUCAUCAGUAGUAAGGAUCCGACUCGCUGACUUUGCAACUAUGACCAGUGAAAUUGUUAUUCAAAGACGCACAUCAUGGCUCUUCGGGGCACCCUUCCAUGUUUGUUUGAGCCUUGAUGUUCUUUUUCUUCUGACUGGUUGCUGAAGGGCUAAUUUACCAUGCCAUCAUCCCCUGCACCUUGCAGUUUGUUCCCAGAAGGCCAUCACUCUCCUGAGACCCAUUUGCAGUAUAUUUUUUAAUGGUGGUAACUCUUUCACAGCAUGAUUCAUUGAUUUUUGACCUAGUAACUAAUAUAUGGUAUUAAUAGGGCAUAACAUGAUGAAAAUUCAUAUCUGUGGAUACUUCCCUUUAUUAUCCCUAUAUUUAAGUGGAUAACUCCAUGCACUUGCAGAUCUAAAAUGAUGCUGACAUUGUCAUGUCAGUGGUCGUGGAUCAACUGCAACAACCAACUGCAUGGCCUUUCAGCUAGUUUGAAAUUUGUCACAGAAUUUCCUAUGUUAGAUAUUAAACUAUACUGUAAUUUGUAGGCCUUAUUUGCUUGAAUUCAGAGAUUACAUUUCUUCAUGUAAAUUCAACAGAGACCACAGCUGAUGGCUCAAGUCACUGUGUUUCAUUUAUUUUGAUAAAUACAUCAUCAGUAUGACAGUUUGCUUUUAAUUCUGACCUUCAAAAGCAUAUUUAAAAUUUUCCCCCCUUCGGUAUAAUUUAUUCAACUGACAAUAGCGGGAAAUGUGUUUAUGUUCAAACUUUAUUCUGUCCUGAGCUAUUACCUCUGAUGGUUUGGAUUCCCUGAGAUGCUUCUAUUCUGUUGUUAAUGAACUAAUUUCCUUCUGCACUGGUAAGCUACUGCUUUCACAAUUCUCUUAUGCAAUACCUCUGUGAGCCCCAUCUCUCUCUUUUUCUACCAUCUCUCUGCCUCAAAAUCGCUUUUUAUUUGUUCAGCUCGGUGAACAAAUAUUAACCUGGAGCGAGUCACUGUCUAGCCAGUAAGCUCGAAAACGGCUGCAGGCUUGCUCUCCAUUGUUUGGCUGCUCUGUAUACUGUCUGUACACUGUGUCCCCAUGGCUGAGGCAGACAUGGAGGUUAGACAGACAGACGGAGAGAGACUGGUGUUAAUUGGAUUUUUUUUUUAUUUUUUUUUUAUGGACCUAUCACUGUUGUCUUGACAUAAUACAGAUGAUAUAAUGGCAUCAAGAAAGCCUGUGUGCAUGAUUCUGAUCUAAUAUUUCAUACAGAUUUAACACAGAUGAAAAUGUCAGUAUUGUUCUUUGCUUCAGUGGUGCAGCUUUUACCCAGCUACUUCAAGUGUGUCAGUCAGUAAAAAAUAAUCAUACCUGCUCAUUUAUCAAUAGAUUUACAAACUUUGAGCUUAAGUCUAUUUCUUAGCUUUUGUGGCUCAAAAUAUUGGCUGUUUCUGAAGCAGCUGUUGAGGGGUCUAAUCCCUUUUGAGAUGAACCUUUGUUAAGGUGGACUGUCGAAGGUGCUGUGUACACCCAAUGGAUGACAACAACAACAAUAUCAACAGGACAGUUCAGGUUUAUGUGUGGAUAGUACAGUGUUUAAGGUGGACUGCUGCAGGGUAACACCCCACAUCAAGAAAUGUUCGAGGAAUAAGCCUAUUAUGCUAAAAAAAAAAAAAAAAAAAAGGAAAAUUAUUGAUCAGACAGCAGGGUUGAUUUCUUUCUGUGCUGAGUUUACAGUAACCAUUCUGCAGUUUUUUCUGCCACUCCCUUCAACCCACAGCCUGCUAUCAGCUGCAGGCAGGAGAAACAUACAUCAGUAAUCAGAGCUGGUCAGUGUAUGUGCGUAUGCUUCCUACAGCACCACCUGGGUCCUCCUAUACUGGCUAAUGUCCUCUACCUAUGGCAGUAGGUAUGGUAAUAGUUGAAUAGUACCUGUGGCCUAUUUACAUAGCUAAAAUUGCUGAGGCACUUCUCAGUCCUGUAGCUUGGCCGACUUUAAGAGAUUUAGGAUUUGGGGCAGAUCCAGUACUUUCAUCAUUUUUCUUGUUGAUUUUUUCUCUGAGUCUGCAUAUCAGCUGCCAAACUGUACGCUGUUUCGUCUGCAAUCUGAAAGGUUCUAAAUGUGCUGAUGGGGCAGCCGAGUAUGUUUUCAAUAAGAUUUUCUGCAUCUGUGUACGAGUGUGUGUGUGUGUGUGUGUGUGUAUUGUGUUUGUCCUUCCUGACUCUGGCUAAGGCCAGUUUAAAGGAGUUUAGGGAUAGUGCGCAACCACACCUCACCAGCAGAUUAAUCAGACUACACACUAACCUCAUUAAUCUGAGAGAAACUAAUGUUACCAACAAUGUGCAGUCACACACACACACACACACACACACACACACACACACACACAAUAAAAACUGUUCCUCUUGUCUUUACCAAAUAAAAAAGAACUUAAUCAUGUUGGCAGCUGUUUAUCUGCACAGAUAUUUGACUUUUGGGUUUCAAGUGGGUUUCUUUUUGUUUUUAAGCUGAGUUGACAAGCUUUUAAAAGACUUUGACUGUAUCUGAGUUCUUUAAGAAGAAUCUUUUUGACAUUGUGGCAAUGACUUUUUAAAAAAUGUUUUAAUUUUUAGUAAAGGUAGUAGUUGAUCCACAGAAAAUUGAUUUGCAACUAUUUUGAUAGUCAUUUAAUCCUUUCAGUCAUCUUAUCAAGCAAAAAAAAAAAAAACAAAACAUUUGUUGCUUCUAGGGAGAUGUUUAUAGGGAUAUGUUUGGAUUCUGUGCAGUUAUACGACAAUUUUUCAAAUAGUCUUUAUAAUUGGGAACACUUUGGGAACACUUUGUUGCUUCAUCAAGUAUUCAGUUAUUCAGUUGACAGAAACAUUAACACCAACUAUUCUUUUUAAAUUGAUCAGUCUUUUCAGUCAUUUUAUCUGUUUUUAGCUUCCCCAAUGUGCUUCCUUACCUUGUCUAAUGUGAUAGUAAACAGAAUAUCUGACAAAACAAGACACUGGAAGACGUCACUUUAUAACUGACAUUUUCUAACUAUUUUAUUGUAUUUAUAUUCCAUUUUAUUGAGAUAGUUUGCACAUUAAACAAUAACGACAGUAAUCAUUUUUUGCAAGUCACUUUGCCUAGCCUUAAAUUUGACAAUACUUGCCACAUAAUAUAGAUAGUAUUUAGUAUUUAGUAUAUAGUCAUUGUGUUUCCAAAUAUUCCAGCCUGAUGAGGUUGAUUCUAAUUUUUUACAGGUUUGUAUUUAGUACUUAGUACCCUUAACUUUGUUUUUGUUAGUUUUAGUUUUUGUUUAUGUUUUUUUUUUCUGUUGUAUGCUAUGUAUUCUAUGAGGCAUUUGUUCAAUUUACAACUUUACAACUUGGUCUGAUUCUCAAAAUAUUUGACAUGAGAAUGUGAAUGCAAACAAUGUCAAACCAAAGCCAAGCAUGACAAUGUAAGAUCCUGUUGUGACCUGCCUAACAACCUCAGAUCAGAGGAAUCACCAUCAACUUUCUUCUGACAGCAGUCUUCUUCUUGUCACUUAAUUGCUUAGAUUUGCCUCCAGCUCCCUUGUUCCUGUCUGACCUGUGACUUGUGUAUGUUGUAUAAUGUCAGUGUUUUAAAUGUAAUAUUCAAAUAAAUUUCCAUUGUUCAAUUAAAUUUUUUGCAUGCAAUAUUACAUAUAUACAUAGUAACAUCACAACAUCACAACACACCAUUCAGCUCAGUGACACUGAGUCUUCCGUGUAAAAUAAAUUGUCACUUUCAUACUUUUAAACUACUCCUAUGAAAACCUAAAAUCUGUGCUACCUACAUCCAUGUUCAUUCAUGAGCAGACCAAAGUUAUGUUUGCCCCCUUUGCUAAAUGUGUUUGUUUCUUUAUUUUUAAAUACAUUUAUAGUUCCAGAUAAUGCAGAGUAAAAUGUCUGUGAUGUGAUUUAUAUGAAAUUAGAAGAUUUGAGGAAAAUAAAUGUUUUUGGCUUUUGUUUUGUUUUCUGAGAUAUACUACUAAUAUUCUUUUGCCUCACAGUGUUCUGUUUUAAUGAUUAGAAGAGAAUGAAUAAUGAGAAUGUUUUACAAAAACAUCACUGAUGAUUACACAAUUUUCUAAUAUUUCAAAAUAACUAUAGCAGUGAUAUAGAGCAGAAUAGUAAGUGCAAUGUGCUCUUCAGAUGCAUAUGGCUGAGAUAGAGAUGUCUUGCAGUUGUGCCUAAAUAAAGUCUUACUGCUGUCAUUUCACAUGACUGUCAGUUCUUUCCACUGUCAUGCUUAUUAAUAGAAGCUCUAAAUGAACAGUGAGAUUUUGGCAUCUGACGUGUUUUACAUUUUAUCUUUGGGGGUAUUUUUAUACCUUUUUAAAAGCUUGAAUCUGUUUCAACAAGAUUAACUCCUUGGCAUGAUGUGUGUUUCUGCAGAGCUGCUGCUAAAGACAUUCAAAAAGACAACUGACAAGUUUUCAGAAGUCAGAAUGCUUGCAGAAAUUAGUCAAUUUAAAAUCGGAUGUAAGCAUUUGGUUUGUUUUUUUGUUUAAUGAUGUUACAAUACCACAAUAAUGCAUUAUUAAUUAAUGUCAUGGUAAUUACCUAUCCUACAUAAAUACUGUAAAUAUUUAAUUAGUAAUACAAAUAUCCAUUUUAUGUGAAGCAUGAAAAUUUUCAUAAAUGUUUCAUCUGUCAAAACCACCAAUCAGCUUUAAGUGUUUUUCAUGCAUUCACACUCAUUUUGACAGGAGCAAAAGAAAUGCAGACUUCCAUAGUAUCACAGUGGUGUGUUCUGUAGGGGGGUUUGUCCUGAUACAGUUGUUCUUUUAUUUCUCUCUCUUACAGCUUAUUAGAGCACUUGAGCAUUGAUGGUAAUAGUAAUGCUAACAUUUUUGUACACAGUAUGUUAAGUGAUAGUGGACAUCAUACUAACAUAAUAAAAAAUGCUAUGUGAUAUCCCAUUAUGUGGAAAUAUUUUACUAUACACUUUUCUGUGUUUUAGCACACACAGUCUUGAGUGGUGUAGUAAAAUGUUAUAUACAAACCUUACAAGAAUUGACUAAUUUUUAUUUUUAUUUUUUCUUUUAGCUGUGUCGUAUAGGGCAAUGCAGGUGCAACAGCACUGACUUUACAAACUCUUGCCUCCAAAUGAUCCCACCACAAACCUGAAGAGAAGAUAAUAUCAUGUCUGUUUGUUGCACUGAUGCUCUCCACUCUGGUGCUGAAUGAAAUCGGAUAAAUUAUUUUUGAACCAGAUGCUGGUACAACCUGCUUCAUUGCUGUCCAGUGUUCCUGCUGACAGUGCUGUCAAUCCAGCAGGAGGGAACCUCUGCAGACUUUAGUGUGGGGUGGCUGCUCUUCAGGUGAACUUAAGUGACACUAACUGUGCUACAGAGUCAAUAAUUUAUUUCUUAUACAUAUCAGUUGUAAUGUUGAGUAUUUAUUAAAACAAAAAUAUCUUCAGAUAAGAAAUGCAUCAACAAACCACAAGCAUAUGACAAAUGAAUAUAGUCUUUUUGUGGCAACCUCAACCUAUCUCCUUUACCUAAAUGAUUAGUCAUGUUUCUAAGAAUUUUUCUCAACACCCCAAGAGUUCCUGCCUGGACCUGUUACAGGCACCGUUUGGUUUUACAUUUGACAGAGUAAUAACAAUAGGAAUGUGAGCAUAUAGAGCUGAUACAGCAUAAUGGUUAGUAAUUGCAACAAAUUGAGAAUUGAGAUUUUCUACCUGUGAAAAUCAAAACAGACAUAUGUCUUCUUUCUGAUUCACUGUAUAUUGUGUCACAGUAGGCCCAAUGCCAUAUUUAAAGCCCUCUCACACUGAGAGUACAAUUUAUUUAUUUUUUCUGAAUUAGGCAUAUAGUAUUUUUAAUACAGAAGGUUUUAGGUCUUCAAAUGCUGCAGACAGGAUCCAGACAUGUCUAUGAAUUUGUGAAUAGAAAUUAAAUUGAAUUCAAGAAAUAAAAUAAAAUUGUGACUAUUUCAUAAGUAGUAACAUGACAACCCUAUAUGCAAUUAGGCCAAUAUGUGUGGAACAUAAAUUGCAAAUUAAAGGGUAAAAUGUAAAUAUUGAAUAUGUUAAGUGCUAUGUGUUGUUGUUUCAUUAAAUUAUUUUUAGUUUUUGAACUAAAAGUAACUAGUUUCAGAAAAAAAUGGAUAAUGGCCCUAUUCUUGUGCUGUUUUUUAACUCUUUAUGCAUUAAAAAACAAACAAACAUGUAACCUCCUAUUCAUAAAAUACUCAAUUAAUAAUUUAUUCAGUGUUAAGAUGAUAUGAUGGUAUGAUAUGAUUUACCAGAAUCAAUCACCAUUCGUAAAUUGCUUUGGUCUCUUUUCUGCGGUGGACAUAAAAUUGUUGUCUGUCCUUAAAAUAAUUUACAAAAAUAAAGUAGAUUAUCCUAUCACCAAUAUCAGUAAAGGACAUUCUCAGACACAAAAGCACUACAGAAAUUAAUACCUGAUAGUGCAGAUAGGUGGCACGGUGGUACAGUGGUUAGCACUGUUGCCUCACAGCAAGAAGGUUCCAGAUUCGAGCCUUUUCUGUGUGGAGUUUGCAUCUUCUCCCUGUGCCUGCGUGGAUUCUCACCAGGUACGCUGACUUCCUCCCACAGUCCAAAGAUAUGCAGGUUAACUGGUGACUCAAAAUUCCCUGUAGGUGUGAAUGUGAGUGUGAAUGGUUGUUUGUCUGUAUAUGUUGGCCCUGCGAUGGACUGGCAACCCAUACAGGGUGUACCCUGCCUCUCGCCCACUGACAGCUGGGAUUGGCUCCAGCCCCCCCGCAACCCUAGCGGUAUAGAUAAUGGAUGGAUGUAUGGUGCCAAUCAUGCCAAAUUUUGUAUUCCUAAUUUGAACUGAGUCUGUAAUAAACCAAAAUAUAUUUAUAUAUUAUUAUUAUUAUUAAAAUAUAUUUGAAUAUUU